RNAcentral lists this ribosomal RNA (459 nucleotides) under uncultured bacterium. Its description in RNAcentral is "partial 16S ribosomal RNA". It matches the Rfam family "Bacterial small subunit ribosomal RNA", at positions 338 to 795 of the family's 1533-position model. The record is from RNAcentral.
CCUACGGGAGGCUGCAGUGAGGAAUAUUGGUCAAUGGGCGCGAGCCUGAACCAGCCAAGUCGCGUGAGGGAAGACGGUCCUAUGGAUUGUAAACCUCUUUUGUCGGGGAGCAAAAGACGCCACGCGUGGCGUUCCGAGAGUACCCGAAGAAAAAGCAUCGGCUAACUACGUGCCAGCAGCCGCGGUAAUACGGAGGAUGCGAGCGUUAUCCGGAUUUAUUGGGGUUAAAGGGUGCGCAGGCGGAAGAUCAAGGCAGCGGUAAAAUUGAGAGGCUCAACCUCUUCGAGCCGUUGAAACUGGUUUUCGUGAGUGAGUGAGAAGUAUGCGGAAUGCGUGGUGUAGCGGUGAAAUGCAUAGAUAUCACGCAGAACUCCGAUUGCGAAGGCAGCAUACCGGCGCUCAACUGACGCUCAUGCACGAAAGUGUGGGUAUCGAACAGGAUUAGAUACCCCAGUAGUC